RNAcentral lists this ribosomal RNA (229 nucleotides) under uncultured bacterium. RNAcentral's name for it is "partial 16S ribosomal RNA". It matches the Rfam family "Bacterial small subunit ribosomal RNA", at positions 568 to 796 of the family's 1533-position model. The record is from RNAcentral.
UGCGUAGGCGGAAAAUUAAGUCAGUGAUGAAAUCCUGCAGCUUAACUGUAGAACUGUUAUUGAUACUGAUUUUCUUGAAUUCAGUUGAGGUAGGCGGAAUGUGUAAUGUAGCGGUGAAAUGCUUAGAUAUUACACAGAACACCGAUUGCGAAGGCAGCUUACUAAGCUGAUAUUGACGCUGAGGCACGAAAGCGUGGGGAGCGAACAGGAUUAGAUACCCUGGUAGUCC